UGACCGCUGGCGGCGUGCCUACUACAUGCAAGUCGAGCGAACAGAUAAGGAGCUUGCUCCUUUGACGUUAGCGGCGGACGGGUGAGUAACACGUGGGUAACCUACCUAUAAGACUGGAAUAACUCCGGGAAACCGGGGCUAAUGCCGGAUAACAUUUAGAACCGCAUGGUUCUAAAGUGAAAGAUGGUUUUGCUAUCACUUAUAGAUGGACCCGCGCCGUAUUAGCUAGUUGGUAAGGUAACGGCUUACCAAGGCAACGAUACGUAGCCGACCUGAGAGGGUGAUCGGCCACACUGGAACUGAGACACGGUCCAGACUCCUACGGGAGGCAGCAGUAGGGAAUCUUCCGCAAUGGGCGAAAGCCUGACGGAGCAACGCCGCGUGAGUGAUGAAGGUCUUCGGAUCGUAAAACUCUGUUAUUAGGGAAGAACAAAUGUGUAAGUAACUGUGCACGUCUUGACGGUACCUAAUCAGAAAGCCACGGCUAACUACGUG
RNAcentral lists this ribosomal RNA (495 nucleotides) under uncultured bacterium. RNAcentral's name for it is "partial 16S ribosomal RNA". It matches the Rfam family "Bacterial small subunit ribosomal RNA", at positions 30 to 507 of the family's 1533-position model. The record is from RNAcentral.